This 1174-nucleotide long non-coding RNA is filed under the name Bemisia tabaci. Its description in RNAcentral is "lncRNA ENSSSA1UGG011444". The record is from RNAcentral. Lineage: Eukaryota; Metazoa; Arthropoda; Insecta; Hemiptera; Aleyrodidae.
CAUGUAACGGAGUGCUUCAGCCGGUACUUUGCCAGGAACUAUAUUAAAUGUAUGGAACCCGAUGUUGCCAGCUUGCCAGGAUAGGCGGGUGAAUUCAAAUAAGCGUCUAAUCUGGUGUCCCGAGCUGUUUUCAUCGCCAUAAUGUGAGAACCAUGGGCAGAUCAAAUUUUUUUCUCAUUUUCCAUACUAUUGUUGACUAUUACAUGCUAUUUUCUACUUUAUUUGGACCAAAAUAAAAAUUUAGGAGAAUUUUGAAUGUGCAAAUUGCCUUGAUUUGUCCCAAAUUUACGUGUCCCCCGUGCUCGGUUCUUGACUUUAAAACGAUAUUGCAGCAUAACUAGAGUGAUUGCUUGGAAAAACUUUAUCGGAGAUGAAAGGUAAUGCUUUAUAAUUUUAGAAAAAUAGUUAAAAACAUGUUUUACUAUUCACAAAACUUUUCUCUCGCGUUUAAAUAACUGUCCCCGGCAACGCUGCGUGAGACGUGGCAGCGCUGUCGCGAGUUUUAAAUAAUUUCCGCUGCUCAGCGCUUUCGUCAAUACCAGCUGUUUUUGUUGUGAUAAGGUUGUUUACAUGUUGUAGUUUGAUGAAAAAAUGAGAAAUGUGAAGUUUUGUGUCUUUAAAGGCGAGAAAAAGCUGCCAAACCAAGUGUGAACCACGAAUUUCCAAGAAACAAGGUAGCAGUGAUUCUGUUCUGGCGUUCUGUUCUGGUGUUCUGUUCUGGGUGAUUCUGUUCUGUGUGUGAAACAAGGUAGCAAUGGUUCUGUUCUGUGUGUGAGCAGAAAUUAUGUUUUGAUCCCACCACAAGAGCUGACCAACUUUAUCAACCAUCUGGUUUGCAGUAUUUGUGAUGUUCUAACUGAUUCAACGCUGAUUGUUGAUUAUUUCACAAAAGGUGAGCCAGAUGUUUUGUUUACCUAGCUUUAUAUUUUUUAAUAUGUGACCGAUCACUGGGGAGAAAAAUUUUUAGCAGCUGAAUUUUUGUCUAGUCGCCUCUAAAUAUCGUGUCCCAAAGAAAUCAGUUGCAGCCAGCAGCCUAGUUUAUUUUUUGUCAAUGAAGGUUGUAAAGGUGCCUUGUAAUUCAUAAGAGUUUUUUACGCUAAAUAUGACAGACUAGAAUUUCAAAUUGCUCAUAGCCAUAUUUUUAAAAUCACAGAGUUUUCGAUUAAAGGUAGCA